Schistosoma rodhaini is the source of this 45-nucleotide non-coding RNA. The record is from Rfam. Lineage: Eukaryota; Metazoa; Platyhelminthes; Trematoda; Strigeidida; Schistosomatidae.
AUUCAGUUAACGAGUCCCAAACAGGACGGAACGCGUGUCCUGGAU